UGCCCUGUAGUGUAAUUGGCAACACGUCUGUCUCUGGAUCAGAAGAGUUUAGGUUCGAAACCUAACGGGGCAA
RNAcentral lists this transfer RNA (73 nucleotides) under Chlorobiota bacterium. Its description in RNAcentral is "Chlorobi bacterium tRNA-Gln". It matches the Rfam family "tRNA". From Rfam's summary of the family: Transfer RNA (tRNA) molecules are approximately 80 nucleotides in length. Their secondary structure includes four short double-helical elements and three loops (D, anti-codon, and T loops). The record is from RNAcentral. RNAcentral also lists the same sequence under 1 other name. Lineage: Bacteria; Pseudomonadati; Chlorobiota.